Molecule: ribosomal RNA, 26 nt
Filed under: Morchella esculenta
Lineage: Eukaryota; Fungi; Ascomycota; Pezizomycetes; Pezizales; Morchellaceae
Description: partial 18S ribosomal RNA
Source: RNAcentral
UUCGUAGGUGAACUGCGGAAGGAUCA